RNAcentral lists this ribosomal RNA (254 nucleotides) under uncultured bacterium. RNAcentral's name for it is "partial 16S ribosomal RNA". It matches the Rfam family "Bacterial small subunit ribosomal RNA", at positions 524 to 776 of the family's 1533-position model. The record is from RNAcentral.
UACGUAGGGUGCGAGCGUUGUCCGGAAUUAUUGGGCGUAAAGAGCUCGUAGGCGGUCUGUCGCGUCGGUCGUGAAAACUUGGGGCUUAACCCUGAGCUUGCGGUCGAUACGGGCAUGACUGGAGUUCGGCAGGGGAGACUGGAAUUCCUGGUGUAGCGGUGAAAUGCGCAGAUAUCAGGAGGAACACCGGUGGCGAAGGCGGGUCUCUGGGCCGAUACUGACGCUGAGGAGCGAAAGCGUGGGGAGCAAACGGG